Molecule: ribosomal RNA, 384 nt
Filed under: uncultured bacterium
Lineage: Bacteria
Description: bacterial SSU rRNA
Rfam family: Bacterial small subunit ribosomal RNA
Source: RNAcentral
AACGUACCCAAAGGUACGGAAUAGCUUCGGGAAACUGGAGGUAAUACCGUAUGUGCCCUUCGGGGGAAAGAUUUAUCGCCUUUGGAUCGGCCCGCGUAAGAUUAGGUAGUUGGUGAGGUAACGGCUCACCAAGCCUACGAUCUUUAUCUGGUUUGAGAGGAUGAUCAGAAACACUGGGACUGAGACACGGCCCAGACUCCUACGGGAGGCAGCAGUGGGGAAUCUUGGACAAUGGGCGCAAGCCUGAUCCAGCCAUGCCGCGUGAGUGAAGAAGGCCUUAGGGUUGUAAAGCUCUUUCAGGGGUGAGGAUUAUGACAGUAACCCCAGAAGAAGCACCGGCUAACUUCGUGCCAGCAGCCGCGGUAAUACGAAGGGUGCAAGCGU